Molecule: long non-coding RNA, 441 nt
Filed under: Phoenix dactylifera (date palm)
Lineage: Eukaryota; Viridiplantae; Streptophyta; Magnoliopsida; Arecales; Arecaceae
Description: long non-coding RNA (PDAC_LNC015799)
Source: RNAcentral
CGGAAUUAGGGAUAGAGCUUUGGAUUAUGAGUUCUAUAUAGUGCUAAAGAGGGCUGGCUUAGGUUAUGUGAUCUAAUAUAAGUAAGGAUCUGGGGUUGGGCUUACGGGAUCUUCUCCUCCGCCGCGAAGAUAGAAGCGCGGCCACGGCAACCGCGAGAGUUUUUUGGGUAGAACGCGCGACUCGUGAGAUCGGCGGGCAGCGACCGUAGCCGGCGGAUUCGGAUUUCGACGGGAUCCGGAGGGGGAAAGGGCUCCGGCGAAGGGGACGGCGGGCCGCCGGAGGUCGGAUGGGGGCGGAGAGAGACUGAGAGAAGAGGGUGGAUGCGGAGUGCAGCGUCGGGACUCGGGAGACCGGGGUUUGGACCAGGCUAAUUUUUAAUUGGACUGGAAAUGGGCCCGAGCUCGGGCCGUGCCAGAUCUAGCCCGGUUUGGGAGAGGUAG